UCGACCUGUAUUGUUUUACUUUGCUAUUCAUGUUCUCAUUUAAAAAAAGUCAGAGACACCUUCAAGAGCUGAAUAUAUGUGCCUAGCCUAUAUCAUAGAGUGGCCAAGCUAAGGAGAAAUAUAGGCCUAUCCUAUUUUUUUCUCUUUGUUGGCUGUGAUCAAUCAUGUUCGCGUGUAAAGACGACUGGAACUUGUCUUUCGCGGGUUGUGGGUUUCUGGGGGUCUACCACAUAGGGGUGGCCAGCUGUCUCCUGGAACAAGCCCCGGAGCUUGUCCACGGCUCUGUCAGACUCUAUGGAGCCUCCGCGGGAGCGCUGACCGCAGCUGUGCUCGCGAGCCGUGCUUCUAUUGCUAAGUGCUGUGAGGAGGUGAUUAGUUUGGCUCAGGAGGCCAGGAGUCGUAACCUGGGGCCGCUGCAUCCGUCCUUCAACGUGGUGAAGGUCAUCCGCUCCGGCCUGCAGCGGAACCUCCCUGACGACGCACACACACGCGCGUCUGGCCGGCUGUGUGUGUCUCUCACACGCGUGUCGGACGGAAAGAACAUCCUUGUGUCUGACUUUAAUUCCAAAGAGGAGCUUAUCCAGGCCCUCAUAUGUAGCUGUUUUAUCCCUGUCUACUGUGGAUUGUUUCCGCCCAGCUUCCGUGGUGUGCGGUAUGUGGAUGGGGGCAUUAGUGAUAACUUGCCCCAGGCAGGGCAAAAGAAAACCAUCAGCAUCUCUCCCUUCUCUGGCGAGAGCGACAUCUGCCCCAGAGACAGCUCCACCAGUUUCCAUGAGCUGCGCCUCACCAACACCAGCAUCCAGAUGAACCUGGACAACAUGUUCCGCCUCAGCAGGGCCCUGUUCCCCCCAGAACCCACAGUCUUGGCAGAGAUGUGUCAGAAUGGUUAUAAGGACGCUAUGCGCUUCCUGCAGGAGAACAAUCUACUGCGACGGGAUUGGCCCUCUGCUGGCCCCGCCCCCGCCGAUGACCCGUCAUCCUGGUGCUGCUCCUGCUCAGCUCAGAAGAACUCUGUUGUCACGGAAACAACAAAAGAGUGGAUUCUACGGCGGCUCCGUCUCAAGAGGACAAGGCCCCAGUGUCCCAAGGAAGAGAAAGUAGCCAACCUGCCCCCACCCAUCCGGAAAGUGUUCUGUGAUGCAUGCAGAGGAAGGCGGGGUUUGUAUGCGCAGAUGUCCGACCUGCUGCCCCUGCGGAUGGCCUCCUACAUGCUGCUGCCCUGCACACUGCCCAUCCAGUCUGCGUACUCAGCAGCCCAGAGGUUAGUGCACACUGCCCAUCCAGUCUGCGUACUCAGCAGCCCAGAGGUUAGUGCACACUGCCCAUCCAGUCUGCGUACUCAGCAGCCCAGAGGUUAGUACACACUGCCCAUCCAGUCUGCGUACUCAGCAGCCCAGAGGUUAGUACACUAUCCAGUCUGCGUACUCAGCAGCCCAGAGGUUAGUACACACUGCUCAUCCAGUCUGUGUACCCAGCAGCCCAGAGGUUAGUACACUAUCCAGCAGCACAGAGGUUAGUACACACUGCUCAUCCAGUCUGUGUAUUCAGCAGCACAGAGGUUAGUACACACUGCCCAUCCAGUCUGUGUAUUCAGCAGCACAGAGGUUAGUACACACUGCCCAUCCAGUCUGUGUAUUCAGCAGCACAGAGGUUAGUACACACUGCCCAUCCCAUCCAUAGUGUUCUAUUGCACUAUCCUAUCCCACCCAUAGUGUUAUAUUGCACUACCCUAUCCCAUCCGUAGUGUUCUAUUGCACUACCCUAUCCCACCCAUAGUGUUCUAUUGCACCCUAUCCCAUCAAUAGUGUUCUAUUGCACUACCCUAUCCCACCGAUAGUGUUCUAUUGCAAAACGCCUCCUUGAGGGUGUGUGUGUGUGUGUGUGAUGUCAUGUCUCAUAUGUAUAUAUAUGUAUAUGCGUGUGUGUGUGUGUGUAUGUUUCUAUUUGCUGUUGGUACUCUAAAACGCUUCCCUGAGGGUGAGUGUGUGUGUGUGAUGUCUCAUAUGUAUGUGUGAGUGUGUGUGUGUGUGUAUGUUUCUAUUUGCUGUUGGUACUCUAAAAUGCCUCCCUGAGUGUAGGAGUUCAAAUUCACUGUGUGCACUGCAAAAAAUAAGUGUUAUUAUUAAUGUUAUAUUAAGAUAAAAAAAUCUAUUUGGUAUUGGCUUUUAGUAUGAAGCAAUUUACCUAGCACUCUGUUGAAUGAUCAUUUUGACUUUUUGUUACAGGAAGCAAUUGAGGGAAACAGGUAGACUGACGGUCUAAGCUGCAAACACGUGAUUUAUCCUCCUGUACUCCUGUUUCUUCACAAUUACUGGGUUGAACACACACACACCUUAGACUACAAACACGUGAUUUAUACGGUUUCUUCACAAUUACUGGGUUGAACACACACACACAGCCUAGACUACAAACACGUGAUUUAUACGGUUUCUUCACAAUUACUGGGUUGAACACACACACAGUGGUGUCAUGUAAGGACCCUGAUCAUGUUGCACAGCACUUGUCAUGAUAUUUAGUCUGUUAGGAGGCACAAAGGCACCGUUUAGUACAUGCCCUCAUAGCACAGCUUUAGUACAUGUCCCCAUAGCACCGCUUUAGUACAUGCCCUCAUAGCACAGCUUUAGUACAUGCCCUCAUAGCACAGCUUUAGUACAUGUCCCCAUAGCACAGCUUUAGUACAUGCCCUCAUAGCACCAUGUAGUACAUGCCCUCAUAGCACAGCUUUAGUACAUGCCCUCAUAGCACCGCUUAGUACAUGUCCCCAUAGCACAGCUUUAGUACAUGCCCCCAUAGCACCAUUUAGUACAUGCCCUCAUAGCACAGCUUUAGUACAUGUCCCCAUAGCACAGCUUUAGUACAUGCCCUCAUAGCACAGCUUUAGUACAUGUCCCCAUAGCACAGCUUUAGUACAUGCCCUCAUAGCACCAUUUAGUACAUGUCCUCAUAGCACCAUUUAGUACAUGCCCUCAUAGCACCAUUUAGUACAUGCCCUCAUAGCACCAUUUAGUACAUGCCCUCAUAGCACAGCUUUAGUACAUGCCCUCAUAGC
This is an RNA transcript of Alosa alosa (allis shad), 3049 nucleotides long. It is a transcript of the gene named patatin-like phospholipase domain containing 3, with no coding region annotated. The record is from RefSeq and is a predicted model, not a curated record. NCBI's taxonomy places the organism in Eukaryota, Metazoa, Chordata, Actinopteri, Clupeiformes, Clupeidae. The transcript has 8 exons.